AUUGAACGCUGGCGGAAUGCUUUACACAUGCAAGUCGAACGGCAGCACGGACCUCGGUCUGGUGGCGAGUGGCGAACGGGUGAGUAAUGUAUCGGAACGUGCCCAGUCGUGGGGGAUAACGUAGUGAAAAUUACGCUAAUACCGCAUACGAUCUAUGGAUGAAAGCGGGGGAUGGCAAGACCUCGAGCGAUUGGAGCGGCCGAUAUCAGAUUAGGUAGUUGGUGGGGUAAAGGCCCAACAAGCAAACGACCUGUAGAUGGUCGGACAGGACGACCAGCCGAACGGGAACCGAGACACGGUCCAGACUCCUAGGGGAGGAAGCAGUGGGGAAUUUUGGACAAUGAGCGAAAGCCUGAUCCAGCCACUCCGCGUGCAGGAUGAAGGCCCUCGGGUUGUAAACUGCUUUUGUACAGAACGAAAAGGUUUCUACUAAUACUAGGAGCUCAUGACGGUACUGUAAGAAUAAGCACCGGCUAACUACGUGCCAGCAGCCGCAGUAA
RNAcentral lists this ribosomal RNA (500 nucleotides) under uncultured bacterium. RNAcentral describes it as "partial 16S ribosomal RNA". It matches the Rfam family "Bacterial small subunit ribosomal RNA", at positions 30 to 523 of the family's 1533-position model. The record is from RNAcentral.